RNAcentral lists this ribosomal RNA (296 nucleotides) under uncultured prokaryote. RNAcentral describes it as "partial 16S ribosomal RNA". It matches the Rfam family "Bacterial small subunit ribosomal RNA", at positions 355 to 643 of the family's 1533-position model. The record is from RNAcentral.
UCGAGAAUCUUCCGCAAUGCGCGCAAGCGUGACGGAGCGACGCCGCGUGGGUGAUGAAGGCUUUACUGUUGUAAAACCCUGUCAGCUACCAUGAAAUGUGGGCGAUGAACAAUUGUCCCACUUGACCUAAGUAGCAGAGGAAGCACCGGCUAACUACGUGCCAGCCGCCGCGGUAAUACGUAGGGUGCAAACGUUGUUCGGAAUCACUGGGCAUAAAGGGCGCGUAGGCGGUCCAUUAAGUCGGAUGUGAAAUACUUCGGCCCAACCGGAGAACUGCAUUUGAUACUGAUGGGCUA